RNA transcript from Piliocolobus tephrosceles (Ugandan red Colobus), 284 nucleotides. RefSeq lists it as uncharacterized. The transcript has 3 exons. NCBI's taxonomy places the organism in Eukaryota, Metazoa, Chordata, Mammalia, Primates, Cercopithecidae. The record is from RefSeq and is a predicted model, not a curated record.
UGCUUCGUUCACACUGGCUGUGGUCUUCCGCUCCUGAGGUUUCAGGCACUUGGCAGUGAAACUAGAAAUCUGGAGCUGGGAAUUUGAAAUUUUGUUCACUGAUGGAUUUGCAGCAUGGAGAACCGGCUCAUGGAAGGCACUCAUUUCUUCAGUGAAUGAAAGUGGCACAGCAGGGUCAGAGUGCAGACCUGAGACCACUGUUCACCGACUUCAGACUCCAGUUUAUUUGUGCCCCGGCUUCCUCACUUAGUCUCAGAAGACUUAGGCUGAGGCCCCAGGAGGAG